This 389-nucleotide ribosomal RNA is filed under the name uncultured Paenibacillus sp. RNAcentral's name for it is "bacterial SSU rRNA". It matches the Rfam family "Bacterial small subunit ribosomal RNA", at positions 999 to 1383 of the family's 1533-position model. The record is from RNAcentral. Lineage: Bacteria; Bacillati; Bacillota; Bacilli; Caryophanales; Paenibacillaceae.
AGCAGAGAUGCAUCAGGUGCCCUUCGGGGAAAGUUGAGACAGGUGGUGCAUGGUUGUCGUCAGCUCGUGUCGUGAGAUGUUGGGUUAAGUCCCGCAACGAGCGCAACCCUUGACUUUAGUUGCCAGCAGGUAAGGCUGGGCACUCUAGAGUGACUGCCGGUGACAAACCGGAGGAAGGUGGGGAUGACGUCAAAUCAUCAUGCCCCUUAUGACCUGGGCUACACACGUACUACAAUGGCCGGUACAACGGGAAGCGAAGCCGCGAGGUGGAGCCAAUCCCAGCAAAGCCGGUCUCAGUUCGGAUUGCAGGCUGCAACUCGCCUGCAUGAAGUCGGAAUUGCUAGUAAUCGCGGAUCAGCAUGCCGCGGUGAAUACGUUCCCGGGUCUUG